This 406-nucleotide ribosomal RNA is filed under the name uncultured bacterium. RNAcentral's name for it is "partial 16S ribosomal RNA". It matches the Rfam family "Bacterial small subunit ribosomal RNA", at positions 30 to 526 of the family's 1533-position model. The record is from RNAcentral.
AUUGAACGCUGGCGGCAGGCCUAACACAUGCAAGUCGAACGAGUGGCGGACGGGUGAGUAAUGUCUGGGAAACUGCCUGAUGGAGGGGGAUAACUACUGGAAACGGUAGCUAAUACCGCAUACUAUCAGAUGUGCCCAUAUGGGAUUAGCUUGUUGGUGGGGUAACGGCUCACCCAGGCGACGAUCCCUAGCUGGUCUGAGAGGAUGACCAGCCACACUGGGACUGAGACACGGCCCAGACGCCUACGGGAGGCAGCAGUGGGGAAGAUUGCACAAUGGGCGCAAGCCUGAUGCAGCCAUGCCGCGUGUAUGAAGAAGGCCUUCGGGUUGUAAAGUACUUUCAGCGGGGAGGCGUUACCCGCAGAAGAAGCACCGGCUAACUCCGUGCCAGCCGCCGCGGUAAUAC